CCGGAUGCAUCUACUACGAUCAGGGAGCUCAUAUGUGUAUGAGUGCAUUGGCGGAUCUUAUACAACAAACAAAUUUGCGGCCGUUGGAUGAAUAUCCAGCGACCAGGAUGCGCUUUUAAAACGCUGAAUAAAACCUCCCCAGCCAGAAACGUAUGUGCUGCAUAAAACCUCCCCAGCAAUCAUAUGCCGGGGACCGGCACCCCACAGAAAACACCUACCUCAUAAUCAGUCACUUUUCAGUUGGGAGUUGUUGAUUUUUCUAUACUGAGAUAAAAUUUGGUCUGUUGCUGCAGUUGAAGGAAAGUGCAGCACUCUUCAGGCCAAAAUUAAUUGUUGCUGGUGCAAGCUUAUGCUGGCUUGUACAACUAUGAACACAUGCAUUAGGUAAAUACGGAGGCAGAGCACAUGGUUUCGAAUAUUUUUCGUCAUUGUUAUCUUGGCUUUUCAGAACCUAUAAGUCACUUGUCAUUUGCUUCACAACUUGUUCAGUCUUCUCAGCACCUGGUUUUUCAUCUUCAAUUAUCGAUACAGCUGAGAUUGAAGUUUUAACAUAUCAGAACUAAAUUAACAUCUGAAUGUCGUCGUAUAGGCCAUGUACGACUUUGAGCAUAGAAUCAACCGUGCUGUGUUUCCGCCUUCAAGGCGAGCCACACAAUCAAACCAUUGCUGGUAUAGCAGUUGCACCGAAAGAGACUUUGACAGAUAUGGGAUAUGAAUUGGUAUCUGGUGGAACUGAGAACCAUUCAGUUCUGGUAAAUCUAAAGAACAAGGUAAAAGAAUAAUUUUUUUUUUUUUUUGGUUGCAUUUCUUAUGACCUUAUUCUAAUUGAUGAAUUGGUGACUGUAUACUGUAUAGAGUUCUUCAGAGUAUGUUUUUAAUAUUUGAUUAAUUUUUAAUAUAACAGAUCAUAUCGUGUAACAUACUUAGAUACCACCUAAAAAUGACUAAAUGAAGUUGUUCCGACACAGAUAUUUUCUCAAAAAAAGUUAUUACUACAAGGCAAUUGGGAAAAUGCAUCAACAUGUGUAUUCUGUUAUCACUACACUGUAAGUGUUCAUAUUCAAACACUUUUUUCUCAAAAGUGUGACAUACGAGCACUUAUGACAUGGUAAAAGAGAUAUAUGAAAUAUCUUCACUAGAGAAGAUUAUAUUAUGUUGUUUUAGCUACCUAGAAUAACUUGUCCCAAAUUUGUAUGUUAUUAAGAGCCGGCUUGGGAAAAUGCAUCAAAACUCGCAUGUUAUUAAGAGGCGCCUUGUCAUUAAACACUACUCCAUAAGUGCUUAUAUGCAAUGCUUUUUCUCAGAAGUGUGGUGUAAGAGCACUUAUGGCGUCGUGAAUAAGAUAUAUAUACAUCAAUCGGCAGGAAUAUCUCAAGAAGAUUAUAUUAUGAUACUUUAGCUACCUAGAAUAACUUGUACAAUGAAAUGUACUUCUUAAUCUCUGUGAACAAAUUUUCUGCAGGGAAUUGAUGGGUCUAAAGUUGAAAAGGUCCUGGAAUCUGUGGCCAUUGCAGCCAAUAAAAACACUGUUCCUGGUGAUGUCUCUGCCAUGGUGCCUGAGGCCAUUCGAAUGGGUAAACCUUUCUAAUUUGACGGAGUAUUCUUUUGCUGGAAUUGUGAGUACCCAUUUGUACGGAGGACUUAUUAAUUUUGUAAUCUAGGAACACCUGCUCUGACUUCGAGGGGAUUCUCUGAACCAGAUUUUAUAAAUGCUGCGGUGCAAUUGGCUUCAAGGAUCAAGGCUAAUACAAAAGGCAGAUAUAAGAGUCUGCAAAUCUAGCAAAUUUUUUGUUUUCACUUUCAGUAACGUUUUCAUGCUCAUGCGCCUAUUAUAUCAGGACCAAAGUUAAAGGACUUCGUCAAAACAAUAAAAGAUGGAAUAUAUCAAUCUGAGAUUACCAAAUUAAAGCACGAAGUGGAGGAGUAUGCCAAACAGUUUCUCACAGUCUGUAGGAAACUGUUUGGCAUACUCCACGUCAUGCUUUAAUUUGGUGAUCUCAGAUUGAUAUAUUUCAUCUUUCAUUGUUUUGACGAAGUCCUUCAACUUUGGUCGUGAUAUGAUAGCCGCAUGAGGAAGAAAACAUUGCUGAAAGAGAAAACAAAAUUUGCUAGAUUUGCAGACUCUUAUAUCUACCUUUUGUAUUAGCCUUGACCCUUAAAGCCAAUUGCACCGCAGCAUCAAAGAACUCAGCAACUUUUAUAAAAUCUGGUUCGAGAAGUCCCCUCAAAGUCAGAGCAGGUGUUCCUAGAUUACAAAAUUAAUAAGUCCUCCGUAAAAAUGGGUACUCACAAUUCCAGCAAAAGAAUACUCCAUCAAAUUAGAAAGGUUUACCCAUUCGAAUGCCCCCAUGCACCAUGGCAGAGACAUCACCAGGAACAGUGUUUUUAUUGGCUGCAAUAGCCACAGAUUCCAGGACCUUUUCAACUUUAGACUCAUCAAUUUCCUGCAGAAAGUUAGUUCACAGAGAUUAAGAAGUACAUUUCAUUAUACAAGUUAUUCUAGGUAGCUAAAGUAUCAUAAUAUAAUCUUCUUGAGAUAUUUCUGCCAAUUGAUAUAUAUAUCUUAUUCACGACGCCAUAAGUGCUCAUACACCACACUUCUGAGAAAAAGCAUUGCAUAUAAGCACUUAUGGAGUAGUGUUUAAUGACAAGGUGCCUCUUAAUAACAUGCGAGUUUUGAUGCAUUUUCCCAAGCUAGCUCUUGAUAACAUACAAAUUUGGGACAAGUUAUUCUAGGUAGCUAAAACAACAUAAUGUAAUCUUCUCUAGUCAAGAUAUUUCAUAUAUCUCUUUCACCAUGUCAUAAGUGCUCGUAUGCCACACUUUUGAGAAAAAGUGUUGUAUAUGAACACUUACAGUGUAGUGAUAACAGAAUACACAUGUUGAUGCAUUUUCCCAAUUGCCUUGUAAUAACUUUUUUUUUUAGAAAAUAUUCGUGUCGGAACAACUUCUUUUAGUCAUUUUUAUGUGGUAUCUCAGUAUGGUAUACGAUUUGAUCUGUUAUAUUAAAAAUUAAUUACAUAUUGCUCCAAGCACAUACUAUAUGGAUGAGGAAAAAGUGCUCCGAAGAACUCUAUGCAGUAUACAGUCACCAAUUCAUCAAUUAGCAUAAGGUCAUAAGCAAUGAAGCAGAAAGGAAAAUAUAUAUUAUUCUCUUACAUUGUUCUUUAGAUUUACCAGAGCUAAAUGGUUCUCAGUUUCACCAGAUACCAAUUCAUAUCCCAUUACUGAAAGAGAAAACAAAAUUUGCUAGAUUUGCAGACUCUUAUAUCUACCUUUUGAAAGCAAAAUUAGAACUUACCUUACGCUUUUUGAGAGCAAAGUGUGAAAUCAACCAACGGAGCUUGACAGUCUCCAUCAAGCUUAAUCAUGAAUCGUCAACCCAGCAGAACUCCUACAGAUAAUUAAUUUUGCAGUACAGAAAAAUGUGUAUUAUUUGCGGACGAGAUAAAAUGAACAUGCUUCUCAAUCUCGUAAGGUAAAAAUUUCACCACUGAAAUAGAAAAAUGCAAAAGAGUAAACAGAAA
Long non-coding RNA from Daucus carota subsp. sativus, 3527 nucleotides. RefSeq lists it as uncharacterized. NCBI's taxonomy places the organism in Eukaryota, Viridiplantae, Streptophyta, Magnoliopsida, Apiales, Apiaceae. The transcript has 2 exons. The record is from RefSeq and is a predicted model, not a curated record.